AGCAGCCGCGGUAAUUCCAGCUCCAAUAGCGUAUAUUAAAGUUGCUGCAGUUAAAAAGCUCGUAGUUGAAUUUCGGGACCAUCAUGUCGGUCGUGCCUCGGUACGUACUGGCAUUGUUGGUUUCUCCCUUCUGACGAACCACGAUGUCAUUUAUUUGGUGUUGUGGGGAAUCAGGACUGUUACUUUGAAAAAUUAGAGUGUUUAAAGCAGGCUCACGCUUGAAUACAUUAGCAUGGAAUAAUGAAAUAGGACGUUUGAUUCUAUUUUGUUGGUUUCUAGGAUCGACGUAAUGAUUAAUAGGGAUAGUUGGGGGCAUUAGUAUUCAAUUGUCAGAGGUGAAAUUCUUGGAUUUAUUGAAGACUAACUACUGCGAAAGCAUUUGCCAAGGAUGUUUUCAUUAAUCAAGAACGAAAGUUAGGGGAUCGAAGACGAUCAGAUACCGUCGUAGUCUUAACCAUAAACUAUGCCGACUAGGGAUCGGAU
This 483-nucleotide ribosomal RNA is filed under the name uncultured Glomus. RNAcentral's name for it is "SSU rRNA". It matches the Rfam family "Eukaryotic small subunit ribosomal RNA", at positions 569 to 1058 of the family's 1831-position model. Lineage: Eukaryota; Fungi; Glomeromycota; Glomeromycetes; Glomerales; Glomeraceae. The record is from RNAcentral.